RNAcentral lists this ribosomal RNA (492 nucleotides) under uncultured bacterium. Its description in RNAcentral is "partial 16S ribosomal RNA". It matches the Rfam family "Bacterial small subunit ribosomal RNA", at positions 29 to 507 of the family's 1533-position model. The record is from RNAcentral.
AGUGAACGCUGGCGGUAGGCCUAACACAUGCAAGUCGAACGGCAGCACAGUAAGAGCUUGCUCUUACGGGUGGCGAGUGGCGGACGGGUGAGGAAUACAUCGGAAUCUACUUUUUCGUGGGGGAUAACGUAGGGAAACUUACGCUAAUACCGCAUACGACCUACGGGUGAAAGCAGGGGAUCUUCGGACCUUGCGCGAUUGAAUGAGCCGAUGUCGGAUUAGCUAGUUGGCGGGGUAAAGGCCCACCAAGGCGACGAUCCGUAGCUGGUCUGAGAGGAUGAUCGGCCACACUGGAACUGAGACACGGUCCAGACUCCUACGGGAGGCAGCAGUGGGGAAUAUUGGGCAAUGGGCGCAAGCCUGAUCCAGCCAUGCCGCGUGGGUGAAGAAGGCCUUCGGGUUGUAAAGCCCUGUUGUUGGGAAAGAAAAGCAGCAGGUUAAUACCCCGCUGUUCUGACGGUACCCAAAGAAUAAGCACCGGCUAACUUCGUG